UACGUUUGGAUUGAAGGAAUGAAA
RNAcentral lists this microRNA (24 nucleotides) under Panax ginseng (ginseng). RNAcentral's name for it is "pgi-miR6138". Lineage: Eukaryota; Viridiplantae; Streptophyta; Magnoliopsida; Apiales; Araliaceae. The record is from miRBase by way of RNAcentral.